RNAcentral lists this unclassified non-coding RNA (394 nucleotides) under fungal sp. RNAcentral's name for it is "partial internal transcribed spacer region". The stretch from base 1 to 46 matches the Rfam family "Eukaryotic small subunit ribosomal RNA", at positions 1786 to 1831 of the family's 1831-position model. Lineage: Eukaryota; Fungi. The record is from RNAcentral.
AAGUCGUAACAAGGUUUCCGUAGGUGAACCUGCGGAAGGAUCAUUAUUACGAGAUCAAAAUCGUAACCCUAGAAACAUUGUGCAUUUGUGUCAAAACUCCGGUUGCAUUUGACCUUUGUAUGGCUUUUGAUCCACACAUGCACACACUUUGUUGUGUCCGUGGGUGGAGCCACUUUCUGAGCAGAUGAAAGUGAAACACUCGCAAGGGUGUUUGGGCCUGUCAAAUGUUUUUAACCGGUUAUCUUCUAUCUGCUCACCUCAUCAAACAAACUAUUAACCCCAAGUAAAUAUUUUGAACUAAAUACAUCUGACUUGGACGACUUAACUGUUGUCCCUGUCUGAAUCUCAAAACCGAACUUAAGAACAACUCUUAACAACGGAUAUCUUGGUUCUC